RNAcentral lists this long non-coding RNA (1943 nucleotides) under Theobroma cacao (cacao). Its description in RNAcentral is "long non-coding RNA (TCAC_LNC004552)". The record is from RNAcentral. Lineage: Eukaryota; Viridiplantae; Streptophyta; Magnoliopsida; Malvales; Malvaceae.
UAAAUCAAAUAUUAACAAUAAAUCACAAAGCAUAAAAAUAAAUCAAGACACAAGUAUUUUUAUAAAGGUUCAACUUUCUCAAAUACUUAUGUCCUCUCCCUUGGCUCACCAAGGAGUUUCAAAUCCAAUACAAAAUCAUGCUUUUUAACAGGAUCAAGUGAUAACCUUCACAAUCGGCUUUUCAUGAGAUCAAGUGAAAACCCUUGCAAUGACGAUUUCAUGAGAUUUAACAAUAACCCUUAUAGCUAUUUUUUAACGAGAUCAAAUGUUAACCCUUGCACUGACUUUUUAACGAAAUCAACUGACAACCCUCACACUAUCUCUUCAAGGUUAGGUUAGAACUGUCAUGACCUGGAACUCCCCUCGAGCCUGUGACAACCGCCGCGAUGUCUCGAUCGACACUCAUUACCCGAAAUGUCAACCGAAACCCCGCAAGGCUUUAAUAUUAGCUUCUCAUUUCACCUGUGAGUAACUGUUGCCAAAUAUCAUGUUCUAACAGAUUUUAAACUAUUUCCAAAUCAAAACAAUAGAAAAAUAAUUUUUUUCCAUAGGGGCAUUUUGGUCAUUUUUUGUCAAAAAUCUCUAAAUCUGCAAAAAAUGUAGUAUGCGAGUACAAAACACAUAAUUCAUAAUCAAAAAUAAGUUUAAACAUCUAAAACCUUCAUUUAAAAUGAAAUUAUGAUUAUUAGAAUAAAAUAAAAAUAAUGAAUAAAAUACUCAAUUUUCUCAUAAAAUAAUACUUUUAGAACACUACAUAAAUAAUUUUUUACAGCGUAAAAGCAAACUAAAUUCAUAUAUAUCGUAAUAUAGUAAGCCAGAGUAUUUAAUUUAAUUUACAGUAACAAGUGGGCUCACGAACGACCAAAAGUAUUAAAAGCAGUAAACCUACAGUUUUUGAGGAAAUAAAGCCAACUGUAGCCUUUGACGAUAUCAGCUAUCUACAGCCUAUACUGAGCCUGAAAUGGGUGGAAAGGAGGGUGGUGAGAUUAUAAAAUCCCAGUGAGUAAACAAAUACCAUCUAAAAUAUCUAAAAUUGAGUAAAUGGAGAUAGAUAAAAUAGUUUAACAUACUGUAAUUCAUCAAUUUUCAACAUAUUUCAACCAAAUAAAAUCAAUUCAUAUAAAUCGAGUAGUCAACAUGGCUUAUGAAUUUCUUAAAAGCUUUGGCUCGUGCCAAAAUCAUUCUCAUACCCAGUUAUCAGGGAUGCCUUCAUCAAGGGCUAUCCCAACCGAGUUCGCCAAGGCUGUUAAAAAGUCAUGUACGCAUAAAUCAUGUUUUUAUUUUAAAAACAUAGUCGUUUCUUGGCGUUGGCUGAGUUCACCCUCACGUGGUGGUUUAGCAUGAAGUGAACUCUAAAGUGUUAACCUUAGGAGUUAUCCACCAGCGCCUCUCAUACUGAGGUAAGAAUAUAACGGGGUUUACCAUGCCACUCUAAUAGGCUGGUCUACGGAAAUCCGCCCACUGCAGUAAGCUAAUCAAUAUCCCACCAAUUCAAUAAAAAUUCAACAGCAUGACAUGGCAAUUUAUCAUUAUCCAGCCUAUCAAGGCAAACAACAGUAUAUACAUUUCAACACAAAUACCAAUUCAGCCAUUCAUGCCAAUAUUGUCAUCAGCCAAUCAAUUAGAACCAUAAAUUCACAAUACACCAAAUGGUCUCCAAUUACUCUAUUUUCAAAGCCAUUAUUUAAUUUUAAGACCAUUUAUGAAAUCAUUUUUUUUAAACACAUUUUGUUUAUAAAACUUAAAAAUUUACCAUUUAAACUCAUGUUCCAUAAAAUCACAAAAUCGAAGAAAAACCACUCUAGAUAAUUAAGACGAUAGUAAGGUUACUCACUAUUUCGGAAAUCGAAUUCCAAGUACUCCGAUUCUUGAUUCCUCGGGUACUAUCGCUUUACUUUUGCCAGAAUGCUCACCACCUAGACAUAAUGCACAAUAAGCCAUUU